CAAGUACUCCCUCUGUCCGGUAUUAUUUGUCAUCAAAAUGGAUGUGUCUAGAACUAAAAUACACCUAGAUACAUCCAUUUCAAUGACAAGUUUUUUUGGACGGAGGGAGUACAAG
Triticum aestivum (bread wheat) is the source of this 115-nucleotide non-coding RNA. The record is from Rfam. NCBI's taxonomy places the organism in Eukaryota, Viridiplantae, Streptophyta, Magnoliopsida, Poales, Poaceae.